RNAcentral lists this ribosomal RNA (1449 nucleotides) under metagenome. RNAcentral describes it as "bacterial SSU rRNA". It matches the Rfam family "Bacterial small subunit ribosomal RNA". The record is from RNAcentral.
AGAGUUUGAUCCUGGCUCAGAGCGAACGCUGGCGGCAGGCUUAACACAUGCAAGUCGAGCGGGCAUAGCAAUAUGUCAGCGGCAGACGGGUGAGUAACGCGUGGGAACAUACCUUUUGGUUCGGAACAACACAGGGAAACUUGUGCUAAUACCGGAUAAGCCCUUACGGGGAAAGAUUUAUCGCCGAAAGAUUGGCCCGCGUCUGAUUAGCUAGUUGGUGAGGUAACGGCUCACCAAGGCGACGAUCAGUAGCUGGUCUGAGAGGAUGAUCAGCCACAUUGGGACUGAGACACGGCCCAAACUCCUACGGGAGGCAGCAGUGGGGAAUAUUGGACAAUGGGCGCAAGCCUGAUCCAGCCAUGCCGCGUGAGUGAUGAAGGCCCUAGGGUUGUAAAGCUCUUUUGUGCGGGAAGAUAAUGACGGUACCGCAAGAAUAAGCCCCGGCUAACUUCGUGCCAGCAGCCGCGGUAAUACGAAGGGGGCUAGCGUUGCUCGGAAUCACUGGGCGUAAAGGGUGCGUAGGCGGGUCUUUAAGUCAGGGGUGAAAUCCUGGAGCUCAACUCCAGAACUGCCUUUGAUACUGAGGAUCUUGAGUUCGGGAGAGGUGAGUGGAACUGCGAGUGUAGAGGUGAAAUUCGUAGAUAUUCGCAAGAACACCAGUGGCGAAGGCGGCUCACUGGCCCGAUACUGACGCUGAGGCACGAAAGCGUGGGGAGCAAACAGGAUUAGAUACCCUGGUAGUCCACGCCGUAAACGAUGAAUGCCAGCCGUUAGUGGGUUUACUCACUAGUGGCGCAGCUAACGCUUUAAGCAUUCCGCCUGGGGAGUACGGUCGCAAGAUUAAAACUCAAAGGAAUUGACGGGGGCCCGCACAAGCGGUGGAGCAUGUGGUUUAAUUCGACGCAACGCGCAGAACCUUACCAGCCCUUGACAUCCCGGUCGCGGAUUCCAGAGACGGAGUCCUUCAGUUCGGCUGGACCGGAGACAGGUGCUGCAUGGCUGUCGUCAGCUCGUGUCGUGAGAUGCUGGGUUAAGUCCCGCAACGAGCGCAACCCCCGUCCUUAGUUGCUACCAUUUAGUUGAGCACUCUAAGGAGACUGCCGGUGAUAAGCCGCGAGGAAGGUGGGGAUGACGUCAAGUCCUCAUGGCCCUUACGGGCUGGGCUACACACGUGCUACAAUGGCGGUGACAAUGGGACGCUAAGGGGCAACCCUUCGCAAAUCUCAAAAAGCCGUCUCAGUUCGGAUUGGGCUCUGCAACUCGAGCCCAUGAAGUUGGAAUCGCUAGUAAUCGUGGAUCAGCAUGCCACGGUGAAUACGUUCCCGGGCCUUGUACACACCGCCCGUCACACCAUGGGAGUUGGUUUUACCUGAAGACGGUGCGCUAACCCGCAAGGGAGGCAGCCGGCCACGGUAGGGUCAGCGACUGGGGUGAAGUCGUAACAAGGUA